AAGUCGUAACAAGGUUUCCGUAGGUGAACCUGCGGAAGGAAAAACCCUGUGAACUUUCAACCCCAAGCUCUUGAUCCGAGGAGUUCAGCAAUCUCUGGUAAAUCAUAGUGAACAGCUUUUGAUUCAGAGACUCUGGAUAUUCCUAGCGCGGUCGAGUGAGGUAAGGCAAGUGACCUGGUACCCUCAAGACCAGUGUUCAGUGAUCUGUCAGUGUUCAUUGACUGGAAUCAAACGUUCUGUCAGUGUGCGUUUGGUUUGCAAGGGUGGCGCAGUAAACGAUCGCUGGAGGCCGACACGGCCGGCGACCGGGUCAGCGAGCUCUGCUCCCACUGUUACGACAAACCUCUGUUCCCCUCUAGUGAAAGCUAUUGGGUUAUAACUAAACGACUGUUAACAAUGGAUAUCUCGAUUCUC
This 414-nucleotide unclassified non-coding RNA is filed under the name fungal sp. RNAcentral's name for it is "partial internal transcribed spacer region". The stretch from base 1 to 46 matches the Rfam family "Eukaryotic small subunit ribosomal RNA", at positions 1786 to 1831 of the family's 1831-position model. Lineage: Eukaryota; Fungi. The record is from RNAcentral.